This 397-nucleotide ribosomal RNA is filed under the name uncultured bacterium. RNAcentral's name for it is "partial 16S ribosomal RNA". It matches the Rfam family "Bacterial small subunit ribosomal RNA", at positions 523 to 918 of the family's 1533-position model. The record is from RNAcentral.
AUACGUAGGUGGCAAGCGUUGUCCGGAAUUAUUGGGCGUAAAGCGCGCGCAGGUGGUUCCUUAAGUCUGAUGUGAAAGCCCCCGGCUCAACCGGGGAGGGUCAUUGGAAACUGGGGAACUUGAGGGCAGAGGAGGAUAGUGGAAUUCCAGUGGAAGCGGUGAAAUGCGUAGAGAUUUGGAGGAACACCAGUGGCGAAGGCGACUGUCUGGUCUGUAACUGACACUGAGGCGCGAAAGCGUGGGGAGCAAACAGGAUUAGAUCCCCUGGUAGUCCACGCCGUAAACGAUGAGUGCUAAGUGUUGGGGGGUUUCCGCCCCUCAGUGCUGCAGCUAACGCAUUAAGCACUCCGCCUGGGGAGUACGGUCGCAAGACUGAAACUCAAAGGAAUUGACGGGG